AGUGAACGCUGGCGGUAGGCCUAACACAUGCAAGUCGAACGGCAGCACAGUAAGAGCUUGCUCUUACGGGUGGCGAGUGGCGGACGGGUGAGGAAUACAUCGGUAUCUACUUUUUCGUGGGGGAUAACGUAGGGAUACUUACGCUAAUACCGCAUACCACCUACGGGUGAAUUCAGGGGUUCUUCGGACCUUGCGCGAUUGACUGAGCUGAUGUCGGAUUAGCCAGUUGGGGGGGUAAAGGCUCACCAAGGCGACGAUCCGUAGCUGGUCUGAGAGGAGGAUCGGCCACACUGGAACUAAGACACGGUCCAGACUCCUACGGGAGGCAGCGGAGGGAAAUAUUGGACAAUGGGCGCAAGCCGAAUCCAGCCAUACCGCGUAGGGGAGGAGGGCCUUCGAGUUGAAAAGCCCUUUUGUUGGGAAAGAAAAGCAGCAGGUUAAAACCCCGCUGCUCUGACGGUACCCAAAGAAUAAGCACCGGCUAACUUCGUG
RNAcentral lists this ribosomal RNA (492 nucleotides) under uncultured bacterium. Its description in RNAcentral is "partial 16S ribosomal RNA". It matches the Rfam family "Bacterial small subunit ribosomal RNA", at positions 29 to 507 of the family's 1533-position model. The record is from RNAcentral.